This is a long non-coding RNA of Accipiter nisus (Eurasian sparrowhawk), 2088 nucleotides long. NCBI's taxonomy places the organism in Eukaryota, Metazoa, Chordata, Aves, Accipitriformes, Accipitridae. The record is from Ensembl.
CGGGAAGAAGGGAGCGGGGCUGGACCCGGCGUCUGAGGUAGCGCCCCGGCGUCUGAGGUAGCGUCCCGGCCCCGGCCCUUCCUCGGGACCCCGCUGAGCUCCGCGCUCGGGGAGACGGCCCGGUGCCGGGGAUGAAGCGCAGGCGGAAAGGCGACGCGGCCCAGCAGGCCGAAGCGUGUGAUGUCUGGCUGGACACCGCCGAGCUGAAGCAGAACGCGGCGCAGCCUCCCGUAGCCAAACCAAAAGCACCUAGUCGAAUUCUGGAAAGGAAGCACGCCUCGGUUGCUUUCACGCAGACAAGAGCCUCUCAGCCACGCACUAAGCAAACAAUCAUCUCCACCUUCUUCAGCACUCAGACAGGUAACGGGGAACAGCGUAUGGCCCUGUAGGAAAGUAGUUUCAGGCCAUCACAGGAAAGCCAUCUUGCUUUAUUUCUUGGCAGCUUUACUAGGCAGAAAAGUGGAUUUUCUAGUGAAGAGGGUAAAGGUUAAAGGUUUGAAGUCCUAGAAAGGAUUGUAUUGUGAUGGUUAAUCUAAAUGCAGGCACCUUUUACAGUCUUAGACCAAGUAGCAGCAGUUGUAGCCAGUCUUUGCUGGAGAGCAAUGUGAACUGUAAAUAAUGCACCGGGCUUUACUCCCUGCAAAACUGAAGUUUUCAGUGGGAUGCUGGGACGCCUGGCUCAGCCUGAGUGCUGACACAAACCAUCCAGGUGGCAAAACGUCUAGUUCUGGGUUGCCUGAUGGUAUCACAUAAAGCACAAUACAGUCAGGAACACCACUUCAGCUGGGGCAGGGCACAGUCUGGGCAGGAGCACUGAGCCCGGCGGUGUCCUGUGAGCAGCUCUCCCUGCUCAGAGAAAGGGCAGCAUGCAGAGCAUUACGUGCCAGCUUUUUUCUAAACAAGGGCAACCCUAAAUUGUCAGUUAAAUGCUCUUGGAAGAACAUUAUAGCUGGAAGAGAAAAUUAAUGUUAUGUGGUUCAAACAACUUCCCUGUAAGGGGAAUCAGUGGGAGGUGAGUGAGGAAAGCUUUUUAUGAGGGGUUGGACAAAGCAUUUUCUGAAGAAUACAGUGUUUAAUCCUAACUGAACCAAUGAAGGAAACACAAGGGAACUGGAAUAUUUAAGCUAAUUAAGCCAGCUCACAACCUCUGUGCUUUUGAGGCUGCUUUUGUGCUCUGGAAUAGAAGAAGCUGGGAUUUGUUUGUGGGUCUCAAAUUAACAAAUAUAGAGAAAUGAAACAGAUGCAGGAACCAGCAGUGCAGGAUUGUGUAGUUUGUAUAUUGUAAAUUGUGUAAUGGCUAGCUUAUCAACAUUGAAAUAGUUUAGCAAUAAGGAGAUGAGAGGAAGCAUUACCUAAAUUGUACAAUUCAAUUAUUUGACAGGAUUUUUGUGUUGUGACAGGGCCAUUGAUGGUUUUUGCUUUGGAUUCGUUAUUCCUACUCCUUUUGAAUGUGUUGUGUGGUCUCCUCUUUUUGUCGUUUCAUUCCCUCGAUUGUGUUCACUUACUCACUGUGUGUGUUUGGAUUCACCAAAUGCUGCGGCUGUUUGUCAGAGAUCUGUAGGAUUUAAGAUGCUGGAGUAUUUCUUAUUUGUUUUUUGGUUGUUGUUGGUGUGUUUUUUUUUUAGCUUAUCCUGAAUUGAUGAGUUUGUAUAUAUUGAGGUUGUAUUGUUUUAUAUUAAAUGGUUUCAGAAGCAAACGUGGGACUUGAUGCCUUCCUCAGGUGAUGUAGGCAAGCUGUAGAAGUUUCACUGUGGAGUUUUGUGGGUUUUUUGUUGUUGUUUGUUUUGUUUGUUUUUUUUCUUUGUAACUAACUGUUGACCUGCUGCUUGUAAAGGCAAUGUCACAGGUGAACUGCCUGGUAAGCUGAGAGAAGGAAGGCAGAGAGGCCAAAAACUGGAGCAGCUGGAGAUGCAGUUCUUGCAUCUCCCUUAAGGGAAGCUCACUUAGUUGAACUACUCCAGUGUUUUAGGCUGCCAUUCUAUGGCAGGCUCAGCAGCACAAACACAGAUGACCGUGAGGCAGCAGCAGUGCUAGUCUGGUGUAGAAUAGUCUGUGUGGUGCUACUUGAAGGAGCAGUAAAGCAGCAGU